RNAcentral lists this long non-coding RNA (576 nucleotides) under Nicotiana benthamiana. Its description in RNAcentral is "long non-coding RNA (NBEN_LNC036007)". Lineage: Eukaryota; Viridiplantae; Streptophyta; Magnoliopsida; Solanales; Solanaceae. The record is from RNAcentral.
GAGAGGGCAAAAUAUCACCAGAAUCAGCAUGUAACUUGAUGGAAAUGUCCAGAGGAGAAACAGCAGGGGAAACAGAAACACAAUUAAAGGCAUGUAGUAAAUCAGUAACAUACCUAUGCUGAUUUAGGUGUAUCCCACCAGGGACAUGUUGUACCUCAAGACCCAAGAAAUAAUGCAAUGACCCCAAAUCCUUGAUUUUAAAUGUGUCAUCCAGGAAGAUUUUUAAGGCAGCAAUCUCAUCAUAGUCAUCCCCAGUAAUUAUAAUGUCAUCAACAUACACAGCUACCACAAUAAGGGAACCAGGAGUACCUUUCAAGAAUAAAGAAUAGUCAUUCAAAGAAUGCAUGUAACCUCUGGAAUGAAGUGCAGAGGACAGCUUAGCAUACCAUUGCCUGGAGGCUUGCCUAAGCCCAUAUAAAGAUUUCUUGAGUUUGCAAACCGAAGGAAGAGAGGAAUCCUGGAGGCUUGCCUAAGCCUAUAUAAAGAUUUCUUGAGUUUGCAAACCAAAGGAACAGAGGAAGAAGUAGAGGGAGAAGUAGGAUCAGAAACAAUCAAACCUGGAGGAAGUUUCAUGUA